CUGCCAGUAGUCAUAUGCUUGUCUCAAAGAUUAAGCCAUGCAAGUCUAAGUAUAAGCAAUUUAUACAGCGAAACUGCGAAUGGCUCAUUAAAUCAGUUAUGAUCUACAUGACAAAUUUUUUACUACUGGAUAACCGUGGUAAUUCUAGAGCUAAUACAUGCAGAAAAGCCCUGACUUCGGAAGGGGUGCACUUAUUAGGUAAAAACCAUCCCACCUUUACCGGUGGUUUUAUGGUGACUCAUAAUAAUUAAGCGGGUAACGGGGAAUUAGGGUUCGAUUCCGGAGAGGGAGCCUGAGAAACGGCUACCACAUCCAAGGAAGGCAGCAGGCGCGCAAAUUACCCAAUACCGAUACGGUGAGGUAGUGACAAUAAAUAACAAUGCAGGGUCUUUAUGGUCUUUGCAAUUGGAAUGAGUACAAUUUAAAUCCCUUAACGAGGAUCAAUUGGAGGGCAAGUCUGGUGCCAGCAGCCGCGGUAAUUCCAGCUCCAAAAGCGUAUAUUAAAGUUGUUGCAGUUAAAACGUCCGUAGUCGAACUUACGCCUUGUGGUUAUGCAGCUGGUCAUUCAUUUGGCUAGAUUUGUUUUAACCCGGGUGAUAAAGUUUGGGUAUGAUCAUGUUGGCUUCGGUCGGUGUGGUUCUCUGCCCAAGCGUAUUACCAUGAGCAAAUCAGAAUGCUCAAAGUAGGCCUUCGUGCCUGAAUGUGUUAGCAUGGAAUAAUGAAAUAGGACCCUAGUCUUGUUUUGUUGGUAUACUUGACCUUGGGAAAUGAUGAAUAGGAACGGUUGGGGGCAUUUGUAUUUGGUCGCUAGAGGUGAAAUUCUUGGAUUGACCGAAGACAAACAACUGCGAAAGCAUUUGACCUAGGACGUUUCCAUUGAUCAGGGACUAAAGUUGAGGGAUCGAAGACGAUUAGAUACCGUCGUAGUCUUAACCACAAACUAUGCCGACUAGCGAUUGGAUCCUCGCCACUGGCAGGAUUCAGCAGCUUAGCGAAAGUAAAGUUUUUGGGUUCUGGGGGGAGUAUGGGACGCAAGGCUGAAACUUAAAGGAAUUGACGGAAGGGCACCACCAGGAGUGGAGCCUG
This 1086-nucleotide ribosomal RNA is filed under the name uncultured soil eukaryote. RNAcentral's name for it is "SSU rRNA". It matches the Rfam family "Eukaryotic small subunit ribosomal RNA", at positions 14 to 1185 of the family's 1831-position model. The record is from RNAcentral.